RNAcentral lists this ribosomal RNA (468 nucleotides) under uncultured bacterium. RNAcentral describes it as "partial 16S ribosomal RNA". It matches the Rfam family "Bacterial small subunit ribosomal RNA", at positions 28 to 507 of the family's 1533-position model. The record is from RNAcentral.
GACGAACGCUGGCGGCGUGCUUAACACAUGCAAGUCGAACGGAAAGGCCCUGAUUUUGUGGGUUGCUCGAGUGGCGCACGCGUGAGUAACACGUGAGUAACCUGCCCUUGUCUUUGGGAUAACUUCAGGAAAAUGGGGCUAAUACCGGAUAGGAGCUACUGCAGCAUGGUGGGGGUUGGAAAGUUUCGGCGGUUGGGGCUGGACUCGCGGCUUAUCAGCUUGAUGGUGGGGUAGUGGCUUACCAAGCCUUUGACGGAUAGCCGGCCUGAGAGGGGGAACGGCGUCCAGGCUACUGAGAGACGGACCAGACGCGAACGUGAGGCAGCAGUGGGGAAUAUUACGGAAUGAGCGCGAGCCUGAGACAGCAACGUCGGGUUCGUGAAGACGUCUUUCGGGUUGAAAACCGCUUUCGCCUGAGACGAAGCGUGAGUGACGGUAAUGGGUAAAGAAGCACCGGCUAACUACGUG